Long non-coding RNA from Bombus huntii, 11355 nucleotides. RefSeq lists it as uncharacterized. NCBI's taxonomy places the organism in Eukaryota, Metazoa, Arthropoda, Insecta, Hymenoptera, Apidae. The transcript is spliced from 3 exons. The record is from RefSeq and is a predicted model, not a curated record.
CCGCGAUCAUAGGAAAAUCGCCGCGCUUUCCACCUCCUCAUCGUCGAUGAGUGAUUAGAAAUUACUCCUACACCAAGGUGGAUUUUAUGGUUUCAGUGUUCCCGAUGAUUUGGAAGUGGGACCUUCUAUGUUGUUGCGAAUGAUAUAUUAGGAGAGAUCAUUAGUCUGGAAUGUUGUAACGAAGGAAGGAGAAAAUAUGGCGUAGCUUAGAUCCGACAACAGAAGAUAUAAGAAACGCGGAAAUGAUUCGCGUGAUUCUAUAUUAGGAUUAUUUGAGUCAGGGAAGAGGUAUGAUAUAAACAACAAAAUAACUUGCAGGAAUAAAGUAAUAUCGAAGUUUCCUCGAAGAAAAGUCGUAGGAUAUUGUAUUACGUCUAGAGGAUUCAGCUGCUUCGCUGACACUUGGCAGGUAGUCUACGGAAUUCGUAUUUUUACGUGACAGCCACGAUAUGUGUUAAUAAUAUUCGAGGUUCUCGAGUGUAAACUGUGUUCUUUUUCACCGUGUUUCGUCAACAUUGUGAUUAGGUUUCCUCCAAGCAUGUGAACGCGCCGUUACCAAACUAGAUCUUCUAUUUACAAUUGUAGUUAUUCUGAUCGCUAAUGAAGCUAAUUCGUGUUAAUGGAACGUUAGAAACUGCUUUCGUAAAGAAACCAGGACACAUUUGCCAAUUUCAGGAUCGUCAAAUAUUAGAAUUUAACAUUCUUUCUAGUUUUUUAUAAAUUAUGUAAGCCAUCCAGAAGCUUUGACUUAUAAUUGCGUAAAGUGUAAAAACCAGUUUCACAAAUAUUUAAGUUCGUCAUCGAAGAUCUCGAAUUUAAUCCAGUGAUUUCAUACGGUCACCAGAAUGGAAGGCUUUGUCAAUGUUCCGUAUCGUACGAUCUACUGACAAAAGGUACUAAUUGAUUAUAGAAGAGAUUCCUUGAUCGACAAAGAUGAGUAAGCAAUUUACCUUUGAAGAAUCGGCACAUUAACGAUAUGACUCUUAAUCCUCGAUUAUCAGUGUUGCCAAACACAUUUAAUGUUAUUCACCUAGGAAAUCACGUUCUCAAAUUAACUCUUUCACAAUCCCUUGAUACUCUAUGAUCGAGCAAUAUUGUCAUACAUCGUAUCCAUCCAAUAUUUGACAAUUUGUCGUGUCUUGAUAUAAUAAAUGCUUACGACAUUCUCUGUAUAGAUCUAUUCACAAUAGCAAUGUUAGAUCGUAGAGGUUAAUCAUUAGUAACAAUACGACAGAAGUUACUUGGAACAGGAUUCUAAUCCAUUUGAGGCAAGAAUUCUCCCGUCGUCGACCAAUAUUUCCAUCAAGUUGUCCAAUUAAAUAAUUUUUUCGUAAUACCACUGAUGCAACGCGAUACGAUCGCUUGUUCGCAGUCGUAAACGGAAACGAGCUUGGGAAAACCUGCUUUUUACCGAUCGAUUCCGCGGUGACUCUAUGAAAUAGGUAUUCGCAACUGGUCUUCUCGUUCGCGUGGCCGUCGAGACGGCGCGCGAGAUUUUUGUUCGCGAUUCGCGAGUUCGGAAAUAACUCUGUUACGUCGCGAGACGCGUGCUGCGCUCCUUUACGUAAAUCCUUGCGUGUGUCUCGUUAGGCUCUCGCGUUCCUUCGCCCGUGGCGGGUUAAUGUCUCAAUCGAGCAGUCACGAUCUGUCAAAGGACCACGUCAGGAUCCAUAGAAUCGCCCAACAUUCCACAGUGGACGCUUAUUAGGCGACCGAUCGUGUCACCGCGGUAACGAGCACGGAAACAGACACUUCGGGUCUAUCGACGAUCGUGCCACUCAGGAAUCACCUCGCGUGAAUUGUAAGUCGCGCGUCGGUUGCAUGUUAAUUGACGUGGCCACUGAUCUCGGCUAAUAACUGUCGCGUGUUUAUUCCCCUUUCUUUCGCUUUUUCUUUUUCCUCCGCGUUUUAUUGCCAGGUCUUUUUAUAGUGCGAACGUGAAAGCACGGUAACGAGACACAGCAAAGUUGUUGAAGCGUCUCGUACCCUGCAAUCGCUGCUUUUGAUAAUGCCCGAGGUUUCCAGGUCAUCGUGUACUUUUUUGGCAUAAAGAUUAUCAAGAAACUUCUGUCGCGGUGUGUGAAAGAUGUUUGUACAAAGUAGACGUACGGAACGAAAUAAUACUCUACCGUAUGUAGUAAUCAUUCCUAUACAUGAUAACCGAGUAAUUCGACAAUGAAUGACGGGUUCUUGCCGGAGCAUCAACCAAAUAUGUCUGACGUGGCAGUCAUUACGUUAAAGAUUCUCAGGAUUGUAAACUCUAAAACUCAUAAAAAUGUCAAGAAGGGAUUGAAAAAAUGAAUCUUUAUUUAGAUCGCUAGAAAGGUUAAUUUACAUUCCGACGAAAACACACCAACCUUUUUUUAGCACUAUCAACACCAAGUGUAAAUAAUUUCCGUUUACAUAUAACUCCUGCAACUUCAGAUAAAUUGUUUUAUAAUUAGUGAUUAAGAGCGACGUGCUUGCAAUUCGCGUGACAGUGCACAUUUUCUUUUUUAUGGCACGUGCGUGAGUCUAUAUCAGCGCGCGAAAGAGCGCGCAAAAAUGUUCCGUGAUGCCGGUCACGUGCAAUAAACACGAUCGUGCGCGGAAGUUUGGCCCACUUGUCCAAUACGCGUCCACGAAACUUCAUCGUCAUCUUUGAUAAGCAUCGGCCAUGUCGAGUCACGAGCACGAUCGAUCUAUGUAUAUUAUUCCACAAGGUCGGUUCCUUUUUCGUUCGGUCGAAUUUCGAGUUUCUCAAAUUUAUUGUUUCUACAUUGUACGGCACGUUUGUAUUCUCUUAGGACUCUUUCCCCUAGAAAUAAAUGAUACGAGUGGGAAAAAGAGGAGGAGAAAGUUUAAUCUGUUUUUAUUACGUUCGUUUAAAUAAAAAGUAAAUGUGAAAAGAAGCGUCGCAGACGUGAACUUGAAGACCAAACGUAUCACGCAAAGUGCGAUCUCUGAUGAUGUUACAAGUGAUUUAUCCACUUCCGUUCGUCACAUUGUGUAAGGACUAGGAAUUAUCAUUAACGACAUGGAAUUGUUUUUUUCCUUCUUACCUUCGUUUGCGUGAAACGCGUUUUAGACCCAAGAACAAUUUGAGUUUCUUCAUAUAUAUUUGCUUUGUAUUUAUUAAAUUUAUUAAUACUUUUCGAUCUAACAUUCUCCGUCUGUUUGUGACUUAUAUUUUAAAUAUCCGCAGGAGGAAAAUUUUCGAGAGUAUUUAAAUCAGUGGACUUCUCCGUUUUAUUCGUACUUUGUCGUAAAUUUGAUAUAAACCUCGACGAUCCAAGUUUAGAACGUUUUUAUCGCAAAAUUAACUCUCAGAGAUAAUUCUUUUGAUAAAUAUUCGGCAUUUUUAUUUAUUUACUUAAAAUGAAUGCUUUUGGUAUUGAUAGAAGCCUUUCUUUGAAAUCUACCGAGUUUUAAUAUUAAAGAAGUUUUUUUGAGAUUAUUAUGUAAAAAUCUUCACUAAAUAAUUUUUACUAUCGAUAUUCCGAUAUCUAAGAUAAUUUACCAGAGUUUUAAUAUUUCCAUAGACAAUGAAGCACAAAUUUUCGGCAUGUUUUCGACACAGUUCCAACAAUCUCUUGCUCACGAAGAUCGUGAAAUUUACGAUCAUAACAAAGUAAGGCAUGCUUUUUUUUUUAUACUGUUUUGACACGUCGCGAGCAAAAUCAAAGGAGAAAAAACUCAUUUCUCAUGCAACGACCAAAAACUGCAUCCCAAUCAAACAGACCAGACUUUCGAUCCUACGCUCGUACAUUUGCAUUUCUACUCGCCUCGGAUAAUUCAGUAACACGAGGAUUCGCAUUCCCCAAUGCCUUAUUUAGUAUAUGCCCGUGCAUCGUCCCCAAAUAGGAUCGAACCAGUCGAAUUUCUGCAGCAAUCGAUCUAUCCAAAAUUCCAAGCUCCGCUUGUCAGAACCGCUGCAUCAUUAUCGAUCUUAGGAUCCGAUCUCGCUGACCAUAUUUGGUGGAACGCACGCUGCUCCACUCGAUGAUCCAUCAAUUCCUCUCGUGUCGUCACGUCCUGUAUGCAAUCUUCUAUGCCGACGUCGAUGACAUAGUAUUCUCGGUCUCUGACGGCAUCGUCGAGCCGCGGAUUAUGACGAACAAUCGAGUGACGCACAUCCUGAAACAGUAGCUAGCCAGACUGCAACGGUCAGGAGGUUAUUUUUAAGACUUGAUCGUUCAUUCACGUUUUUCCCAGGAACCUCUUGAGUCAGCACACACGAAACUAAGGACGUUCCGAAGUCGGUUCGAUUCCCGCGAGAAGAUCGCCGGCCGCAUGAGGAUGCGUGUUUAUUUCGAAGCGGUGUGUCUAGCGUGCGUGAGUCAUAGGAAGAGAUUCUUGGUAUCAAGGUCGCCGAUGGUCGUGACCUUCCUCGGCCACGCCGCCGUUACCGAUAUUCUGGCGCCAUGCUGUGCCACCCGAAAUAUUUCCCAAAAUUUUUUUCGUGGUAGAGAUAGUAUCAAAGAUGAACAUAGUGGUUGGGAAGGUCGUGGUUUGGAAUUUUUGCGAUGAUCGAGAGAGAACAGACGAUACGUUUAUUCGGUUGUCAGAUUUUUGAUAACGUUUAUUCGGGACGCCAUUAAUACAGUCUGCAUUAAGGAUAGCUAUUGCGUUAACACGACCUUUCAUUUUCAAUUCUUUUUCGGUCUAUUUACAUUAUCGAAUUCUGUUUUUUCAACGUUCUGGCUACGAAAAUGAAUCUCAAAGAUUCCCUUGAUAUUUCCUUUUUCUACUAUUUUUUCUAUCUAUAUACUACAAUUUUAUGAAAUUGAAAAAAAACUGAAGUAUUUGUAACGUUACGAUAGCCUUAGUCUUUAAUGGGUUAAACGGAGUUUCAUUGCUUCAUUCAGGAUACGACCGAACUAUUAUACAAUAAUUAAACGUCGCUUAAACGAUCCAGAUAUAUCCAAUACGGAAGCAGGAAGCUUACCUCGUGUACCUUAUCAAUUUACUACAUUUACUUGUCGCGAUCGAUCCGCGAAUAGCUCUACGUCUACGAAUCAACAACACGACCAAUAUCUCGACGUUAUUAAGAUUCAUAUCAGCCUCUCUAAUUAUGUUUAAUUAGUCACUGUGCGUCUCGGAAACGCAGUCAGCGCGCACGAACCGAGAGAGACCAAUUUUCAGCAUGAAUAAUACGACACUUCCUGAUUUUCUUCUCUCGUCUGAAUAAUACCCAGGGAAACUCGAGAAAUUUUCUUCGUUGUAAUUUCAUGAGAAACGACCGUGCACCUCGAAUCUCUCAUUAACACGAUCUCGCGCGGUGCUUGAUCUACCAGCUUCUGACAAACAGUUGCCGCGAUGAUUUCGAGACGAGCGGUCCUAACAAUGGAACGCGAUAAAUGUCGACGUUCGCGAGCUCUUAAUUAAACCUGUCCAGUAUUCCCGUCGUUUCGAUAGUUCUUUCUUUUCCCCACGACACGCGCCCAUUGUCGUCCAACUCACGAGGUGUCUACGCGCCAGCGUAUUUUCCCGCAAUUUCGCACAAAAGCCGAGAAUGCUGUUUCUCACAGGUGACUUAUCGUGGCGUAUCUUGAGAACCGGGACGGGCUGGUUAAUUUCAAGAUCACGGCGAAAAGGUUGUUCCCCGGUGCGUAGCUUGAUGUCACGGCCUUUGAUCCUGUAGUGGUACGCUCAGCUACAAUAUACGCCGACGCUUUUGAAAAUAAUGUUACUUUGUUAUUAGACAUAUUAAACGGUUACUCUUCAGUAUCUUCCUGUUGUACGCUUCUUGUUUCAAAGCAAACGCUUUUAUCGCGCAGCUGAGAUUAUGAGAGAAAUUUGUGUUUAAUUCCAGCUCGGGUAAAAUUUGUUUCGAAAAUAAGUAUGAGUAACAAUACGAUAUAAUAUCUCCUUGGAUCUAUAGUAAUAUAAUUUCUGAAAAAAUUGGUCGCGAGAUGUAACAAUUCACUGCAUAAGUCUCAGCUUUCUUUUUCUCGCCAUAAAGUCACCAAGUUAACUGCGUUAUCCCUGUUUUUGCUUUUCUCUGUCAAUCUGUGACGUAGAAAUCUGGGGAGAUACCCUGUCGCUUUGUUUUUCCUUUUUCUUUUUUUAUUUUUUCGCUUUCUGGAACAGUGUACCGGUGCUUGUACAAUCAUUCAACACGAACGUGACCGAAAUAGGGAUGAGCAGUUGCAUUCUUUUUCUUGGAAUUCUGCUCGUUCGUUCCGGUGAUUUGAACGAUGGGACAGAAGAGAUUCCGAGGUUCUCGUGCUGUUUCUCGCGACAGCAGCGAUUGUGUUGCGUAGAAUCGUAUACAAUAACAUGUAAACUCCAUUAAAGCCCAUCUUAGUAGUGGGAAUAAGAACAAUUUCAGAAUUGAUUUUUUCUAUUUUUGAUAUACUUAUUCGGUUUGGAUAAGUGGGAAAGCUAUAGAUGCAAAUUGAUCGGUGAAAUUGAUCGAUGUAAUCUAACGUGUGCGAAUGGUUAGAACGAAAAAAUCUUCAGCACAGUAGUCGUUAGGGCGUAGGUUCGUCGAGACGAUGAUUGUUAGUAGUUGAAUAAUAACUAUGAAACUCGUGGUUCGUUAGUUUGCGAUUAGAACUAAUCAUUUAACGUGACCGUAAUUGAGUCAACGACAAUGGGACGGCAUGGAAGAUCUCGAUGCGAGCGUAAUUUUCUGAUUGCGUGCAGUUGAAUACACUGUUUCUCUUUAAUAAUAUCUAGCAGUUCUUUUCUCAAACGUUAUAAAUAAGCCGUAUAAAAUUUUUAUGCGAAGAACGAAGAGCUUCAUUCACUUGUGGCGAAUAAAUCUUCGGAGAACAUUGUGAUAAAAUACGGCUGCUAUAAAAACUAGGCUUACAAACACGCGAGUUCGAUAACAGAAUGAUUAAAGCAAACGGAUCUCAGCGCAAACAAGAAUCUACGAAAACAGUUUUAUAGUGUUUGUCCAGUCGUGUUAAUGCAAAUUUGGAAAUUCUUGCGUAAAACAAGCUAUAACGAGAUAGAUCGAUACGUCUCAUACGUUUAGUGGAACGUGACGUAGAAUCUGAAUAAAGAAAGGCAACUUGGAUACUCGUAAGCUUUUAAAAAAUCAAACGGCAUUACAUACGCCUUGCUGACUUCUCUUUGCCUCAAGUUAACGAAGCAAGGACAUUUACUUAAUGAAUUAGUGUUCACGAGCCGUGCACUGAUGAGGGAUAUAAAUUGUAUUUGCCAUGUAUACAAAGCUUACAAAAUUGUUCCAUCAUUGAAUAAGUACAGAUAUUUAUUAACGCGUGUCAUGUACGGUAUAAAAAAGAAAAGUUACAACAGAACGUUCAGAUCAAAUACAAAAAUCAUAUUGAUUAACAUUUGAUAUAUGUGUCCGUUGCAUACGUCUUGGAUCAAAACUGAUAUAGAUAUAUAUUUUUUUUAUUACACGACUUUCAUUGAAUUUAAUUUAAAGCAAAAGGGAAAUUAGGAAAUGUAACUGGUCUUAAAACUAUUUAAUGUACAGGUAAUCGAUAUUUCGAUGCAAUACGCGAUGCUUCAUAUACAAGCAGUCAAUAAGAAUUAUCAUCUGAUUUUCUUGUAACUAGGUCACGAUUUAAUUAAACAUCACAAGGAACUAUGCGAAUCAUUCGGUCAAGGCAAUAUUCUCGAUAACUUGAGAACAAAUCUCAUCUACUCUGAUCUGAAUGUACGUGAAAAAGGACGAUGCGACGCGUGUCUGCUUUGCGAUUCAUCGGCAUUGCCGGCGGAACUUUCCUCCGACCGAUUUUCCCUUUCGCUCGCGGAAUUAGAAAUUCUACUUAAACGCGGCCGCUCUUGUUCCAUCGCUCAUUACGAAUUCCGUCAGCGUGUUGUCUGUAUUUUUACACGUACAAUGACCUUCUAUAGAAGAAGAAGAGCGACUAGCGAAAGUGUCAUUGCUCGCCGCUGCAUAUUACCGCUAACAUCCGUCGCUUUCGCCGCGAUUUCGUUGAGAUUCGACUCGCGUCCUUUCCUUUUCGGUGUUUUCCGCGCUUGUUCGCACUCGAUCUUUACGCUCGAACCGCCCUAUUGUCUUCUUGCGAGAGUUGACAAGCUUUCAGGUCUUGUCGCCUGGAAAAGUAUCGGAGAAAGGGCUACCUACAUUAUUAACGCGUAUCUUGCUAUACGUGUGAUCAUUGUGAAACCGUUGUCGUUCGGUUGGAGGUUCUUGGAAAAUUUGAAGACACAGGGAGGUUGGAAAUGGUAGGAAAUUCUCCAAAAUGCAGGAAAAUCUCUGAAGUUACAUGAAAUUUUCCAGAGAAAGAAUGCAAUAGCAUCAAGUAUUUCAUACUAUAUACAUAGGAAUUUCUUUUAUCUUAUAGUUGAAAAACGGACGACAUCAUUGAGGAACAUUUCCCGUGACUAAUAAUUAAAAAUAGAAUGUGCAUAAUUGUGAGAGGAAACAUUUUACAGCGAAAAUAAAUUUAUGAAAAUAAUAUUUAUAAUUCUCACUAUUCUAUGCAUUUAAAUUUAUGAAGUUGAUAAGUAUAGCUUCGGAGAAUAUUAUUUCAUAUCUCUGUAAUAUCUGUACAAAGGCCUCUUUCACUUUGAAUUCACGACGCUGCAAUACCUAAAAUAAUUUCCAAUACUUCGAGCCAAUUACCAGUCAUCGGAUAUCGAAAUCGUUCGUAUCCUAUAAAGGUAAAUCGUUGUGCUUUCCACGGUAAAAACUUGAAUUUAUACGAAUGCAUUUCUUUAUGAGAAACGCGAGAUAUCGGAUGCACGUCAUAGCUGCAUUCGAAGUAAAUGUAGAAUGAAGGAAGAGAAAAAUGUACAACGGCGGCGAUUAUCGGUGAACGUAACCUUAAUUGUUCGUGCGUUUUAUGCGUAAAAUCUCCGUAUUCGUGCGUUCUCAUUCGUAGAAUUUGCCUAUUCACGUCUGGGUAUCUAUACGUUUUCCAUAUUAGUCAACCGAAAGAAAUCGCGUAUUUGCAGUUCGUUCGAAUAGCACGCAACGCCAUUAAUGCUGUAAAGAGAGAAAAAUAUCAAGACUUACGAGUCUAUACGAGUCGAUAAAAAACAGGAUAUUUAAAGGGAUGCAAAAUGUGACAAUUUUUUAAACAAAUGCUAUUGAAUUUCACGGAAAUAUAACGCGAAGAAUUAUCGUUACGGUGAAAGUUUACAAGAAAGCAAAGACCUACUGGAGAAGAUUUAAGGCCAUUUUCUUUCCCUAUUUGCGGCUCUUUCGCGAAUUGUAACGCGAAUAAGUUUAUUUCGUUGUGCUCUCGUAACAUACGCGAAAUCCUCCACCAUUGUUUGACGAGUGAAGAAUCGAAGAAACAUUACGUCGCUGUUUCUCUGAAAUUCACCGUAUCCUAAGAAUAGCAUCGACAGAUCGAACCUAGUUCUUACUUCUCGUCAAGAGGAGGAGAUUAUGAAUUAGCGGUAUUCGUUCGUAUCGUUUCGUAAGGAAUUUUAUCGCGACGGGACUUUUCGUUCGUGAAACGCUGGAAAUAGUUCGGACGAAAUGUGUUUUGCAUUCUCGUCUGGAUUAUAAUGCAUGUUGAGCCACGGGCAAUGAACAUUAAUAUUCAGGCGCUGUUUCGUCAUUCAAUUUCUCGUAUUCGCGUUCCUUUGUAGCGAAAAUGCCUAAGGAACUGUUACGUGGCGGUAAUUCAUGGCGCGAGCCAUGAAUAUCGCGAUUAUAUCGCUCGGGACGACUCGUCCGUUUCAUGAAACAUUUUCGUUGAGACUUUUGACAAGACCUUCCAGGCUGCUUACUGGGAAAUUCAAUUCCAUUGCUUCCGUAAUAAAGGAGUAAUAUUGGAAGAUCUUGGUAUCAUAGUUAGUCACUUAUGUUGUAGUUAUAACACUCUUCCAGUACAAUAUACGGUCUAGAACAGUUUUAUUAAGAAUACAGCGGCAUUCAGACAUAUGAGGUGAAAAUUGUAGGAAAAAAAGUGUAAAACUAAGAUUAUGCAUAUUUGAUAGCUGCACAGUUAGAAAUAGUUUCCACUUAUUUUUAAGUAGACUUAAAGGAUAGAGAUAAAUUAAUGACUACUUGUCAAUUGCUUGUUGCACAAUCACCGGAUUGCGGUGAUUAACUUAUUUCUCUACCGAAACACCACCGAUUCGAUAAACACGCGUAACCAAUGCGAUCGUUCUCCAAACGGUUACUUUAGCCAAUUCAAUUACAAAUUUCCCUUUUUUUGAUACUUCUCUCGAGCGUAUACAGUAUACUUAGAAAUAAUUGCUGAAUAAACGAUUAGUAUCGUAACAUCUCAAAAAACUAAGGAUUUACCUCUAUAACUUCAUUUAUUGCAAGGGAAUAACAUAAACAAUCGUAAAUUUUCCCAUUACAGUAUUUAACACAUUCUUCUUUAUUCCCUGAUUAUUCACGUAGUCGAUCAAUUUAGUUUCUGAGCGAUUCGUAUCUGCUUCUGCGCUGUUCUCAGCCGAAAAAAUUGGAUACAAUGGAAAUGAUGGCCAAGUCUGACGCAUGAUAUUCAAACGGACGUAAAGAAAAAGAAAGCAAGGAGGCAGGACAAAGCGCAGGGAGGAUCGUCGAAGAACAUCCUGCUGAUAGAAUUUGAAAAAAGGCUCGUCGAUGCACUCUCUCAACAUGGUCGGGGAUCACGACCUUGCCACGGCGAAUCCGGGAUUCGAUCACGCUCGCCUUGCCGCGAGAGACCCGGUCGAAACUGGCCUUUUCUUUUCGUGCGUCGAUCACGAAACCCACCAUGGGAAGUUAACAUUCCGGUGGCGUCGCUCCAGCGGUAACGUUAAGGCCUUUCCAGUCGAUAUUGCCACGAGAGAGAAAGAGAGAGACCACGGAUCCCUUUCUUAUUUCUCCUCUAUGAGCCACGCCUAGCACUUGCUCCGUGUAACCAUUUGCACACACCCUUCACUACAUAUAGAACACGAGUGGGAAACGUGGGCGAGUCGUCGGCCACGAUAUAUCUCGGCCGAUGAUAUCGCUGGCAGGUUAUCGGGCAAAAUCCGCCGAUCCCGAAACGAGAGGAAAGCUCUGAAGAAAAAUUUCCGAUGGAACGCUGGUGAGAUCGUUUGCCGAGGUUUCAAUCGAAGUUGUAGUUGCGCUAUGGUCAGGGGAGGAAAGGUCACGGUGCGGUGGGAUUUACGUACUGACUAUGGUAGAGAUGGAAGGUGAGCUUGAUACGGAUCAUAAAUUCGAUCGAUUGUUAAAUCGUAACACGUUUUAGCAAUUGAUGCUUCGGGCAAAACGGGAUCCAAGCGUCAGCGUAUUGCAAUUGCAGAUAAGAAUGUGAUACGGUUGCGUUUAAUUUAAAAGCGGAUGGGCUAUUCUGACGUAAAAGAUAGGCAAAUUUCACUGAUUGCACGUUUUAGUUAAUAGGUAUUUUACUUAUUAACGCGCGUGUAGUUUUAAGACAAUACUUAAUCGCUUAAAUUAUUAUAAUAAUACAUAAUAUUAUUAUGUAUUAUUAU